GGAAGGAUCAUUAUCAAAAAUUCAUAUUUUUGAAUAUAACCCUUCAACCCAUGUCUACUGAUUCUCUGUUGCUUCCACUGGACAGGUAUCUAUUGUUCAAAACCUUUUUUGAACCGUAUUUGCCCUUCAAGUCUCAUAAUUGAGCUUGGGGAAUUGCUAGUGGGUAGCCUAUGUUAAUACCAUUAUGGCAAGCAUUUUAUUCAUAAGUCUGAAAAAAAAAUGAAACUAAAUGAAAAAAAACUUUCAACAACGGAUCUCUAGGCUCUUGCAUCGAUGAAGAACGCAGUGAAAUGUGAUAAGUAAUGUGAAUUGCAGAAUCUCGUGAAUCAUUGAAUUUUUGAACGCAUAUUGCGCCCAAUGGUAUUCCAUUGGGCAUACCUGUUUGAGAGUCAGAAUCCUUUUAAAUGGUCAAACUUCCUAUAUAUGGAGAUGUUUGGUAUUGAGAGACGUAAUAAAGAUUUCCUAUGUUACACUCUUAAAAAUCAGAAUUUCAGGUUGGUUGCUUCAAUCUCAUUUUGUAUGUGAUAAUCUUAAUGAAUGAAUAAAACCACCAUGAAUGUACGUAAACAGAACACUUGGUAUGACCUCAAAUCAGGUAGGGAUACCCGCUGAACUUAAGCAUAUCAAUAAGCGGAGGAAAAGAAACCAACAGGGAUUGCCUUAGUAACGGCGAGUGAAGUGGCAAAAGCUCAGAUUUGAAAUCGGGUGUUUUUAUAGACGCUUGAGUUGUAAUCUGUAGAGGAGUUUUCAGAGGAUGACUAUGGUUAAAGUGCCUUGGAAAAGGACAUCAUAGAGGGUGAGAAUCCUGUUUAUGGCCUUAGUACUUCUCUAUUAUGAAUCUCCUUCAAUGAGUCGAGUUGUUUGGGAAUGCAGCUCUAAAUGGGUGGUAAAUUCCAUCUAAAGCUAAAUAUAGGCAAGAGACCGAUAGCGCACAAGUAGAGUGAUCGAAAGAUGAAAAGAACUCUGAACAGAGAGUUAAAAAGUACGUGAAAUUGUUGAAAGGGAAGCACUUGUGACCAGACAAAUUUGCAAUUAAUCAGCCUAUCAAUUUUUGGUGGUGCACUUAAUUGUCAGUGGGUUAGCAUCAGUUAUAAUAGUGGGAAAAAGACUGCAGGAAUGUAGCUCCUCUUUGAGGAGUGUUAUAGCUUAUGGUUUAAUACUACUUAUUGUGACUGAGGAUUGCGCUUUUUGAGUAAGGAUGCUGGCAUAAUGGUCAUAAGUGACCCGUCUUGAAACACGGACCAAGGAGUCUAACAUCUAUGCGAGUGUUUGGGUCUAAGCCCUUACGCACAAUGAAAGUGAAAGAAGGUGGGAACCAUCUGGUGCACCAUCGAC
This 1335-nucleotide ribosomal RNA is filed under the name uncultured fungus. RNAcentral's name for it is "eukaryotic LSU rRNA". The stretch from base 582 to 1335 matches the Rfam family "Eukaryotic large subunit ribosomal RNA", at positions 1 to 765 of the family's 3401-position model. Lineage: Eukaryota; Fungi. The record is from RNAcentral.